ACAACGGAGAGUUUGAUCCUGGCUCAGGAUGAACGCUAGCGGCAGGCCUAAUACAUGCAAGUCGAACGGCAGCGGGUGUAGCAAUACAUGCCGGCGAGUGGCGCACGGGUGCGUAACGCGUAUGCAACCUACCCAUAACAGGGGGAUAGCCCGGAGAAAUUCGGAUUAAUACCCCAUAACAUAUUGAUGUGGCAUCACAUUAUUAUUAAAGCUACAAAGCGGUUAUGGAUGGGCAUGCGUGACAUUAGUUUGUUGGUGAGGUAACGGCUCACCAAGACUACGAUGUCUAGGGGUUCUGAGAGGAUGAUCCCCCACACUGGUACUGAGACACGGACCAGACUCCUACGGGAGGCAGCAGUAAGGAAUAUUGGGCAAUGGAGGCAACUCUGACCCAGCCAUGCCGCGUGAAGGAUGAAGGCCCUAUGGGUUGUAAACUUCUUUUGUAUGGGAAUAAACGCAGUUACGUGUAACUGUUUGAAUGUACCAUAAGAAUAAGCACCGGCUAACUCCGUGCCAGCAGCCGCGGUAAUACGGAGGGUGCAAGCGUUAUCCGGAUUUAUUGGGUUUAAAGGGAGCGUAGGCGGGAUUGUAAGUCAGUGGUGAAAGCCCGUAGCUCAACUACGGAACUGCCAUUGAUACUGCAGACCUAGAGUACACUUGAAGUGGGCGGAAUGUGUCAUGUAGCGGUGAAAUGCUUAGAUAUGACACAGAACACCAAUUGCGAAGGCAGCUCACUAAAUUGUUACUGACGCUGAGGCUCGAUAGCGUGGGGAUCAAACAGGAUUAGAUACCCUGGUAGUCCACGCCGUAAACGAUGAUUACUCGAUGUUGGCGAUACACUGUCAGCGUCUGAGCGAAAGCAUUAAGUAAUCCACCUGGGGAGUACGGUCGCAAGACUGAAACUCAAAGGAAUUGACGGGGGCCCGCACAAGCGGAGGAGCAUGUGGUUUAAUUCGAUGAUACGCGAGGAACCUUACCAGGGCUUGAAAGACAGGAGACCGUUGCGGAAACGUGACUUUUCUUCAGGAACUGCUGUCUAGGUGCUGCAUGGCUGUCGUCAGCUCGUGCCGUGAGGUGUCGGGUUAAGUCCCAUAACGAGCGCAACCCCUAUCUUCAGUUGCCAACAGGUAAUGCUGGGGACUCUGGAGAAACUGCCCGCGCAAGCGGUGAGGAAGGCGGGGAUGACGUCAAGUCAGCACGGCCCUUACGUCCGGGGCUACACACGUGCUACAAUGGUUGGUACAGAGGGCAGCUACACCGCGAGGUGAUGCAAAUCUCCAAAACCAAUCUCAGUUCGGAUCGAAGUCUGCAACUCGACUUCGUGAAGCUGGAUUCGCUAGUAAUCGCGUAUCAGCAAUGACGCGGUGAAUACGUUCCCGGGCCUUGUACACACCGCCCGUCAAGCCAUGGAAGUUGGGGGACCUAAAGUCGGUUGCCGCAAGGCGCUGCCUAGGGUAAAACCAAUAACUGGGGCUAAGUCGUAACAAGGUAGCCGUACCGGAAGGUGCGGCUGGAACACCUCCUUU
This 1526-nucleotide ribosomal RNA is filed under the name Sphingobacteriales bacterium. RNAcentral's name for it is "bacterial SSU rRNA". It matches the Rfam family "Bacterial small subunit ribosomal RNA". The record is from RNAcentral. Lineage: Bacteria; Pseudomonadati; Bacteroidota; Sphingobacteriia; Sphingobacteriales.